Molecule: transfer RNA, 87 nt
Filed under: Eubacterium sp.
Lineage: Bacteria; Bacillati; Bacillota; Clostridia; Eubacteriales; Eubacteriaceae
Also listed under: 2 other names
Description: tRNA-Leu
Rfam family: tRNA
About the family: Transfer RNA (tRNA) molecules are approximately 80 nucleotides in length.
Source: RNAcentral
GCCGGCGUGAUGGAAUCGGCAGACUUGACAGACUCAAAAUCUGUUGCCUUCACGGGCGUGCGGGUUCGACCCCCGCCGCCGGCACCA